RNAcentral lists this transfer RNA (72 nucleotides) under Marmota monax (woodchuck). RNAcentral describes it as "tRNA.Ala". The record is from RNAcentral. Lineage: Eukaryota; Metazoa; Chordata; Mammalia; Rodentia; Sciuridae.
GGGGAUGUGGCUCAAUCAGUAAAGCGCUCGCCUGGCAUGCGCGGGGUGCUGGGUUCGAUUCUCAGCACCACA